This 618-nucleotide long non-coding RNA is filed under the name Gossypium barbadense (sea-island cotton). Its description in RNAcentral is "long non-coding RNA (GBAR_LNC017150)". Lineage: Eukaryota; Viridiplantae; Streptophyta; Magnoliopsida; Malvales; Malvaceae. The record is from RNAcentral.
UUAGAUUGAGAAUCUGUCCGAACACUAGAAAAAACCGUUUGAACCGUGAACUGAAAAAUCGGUAAAAAGCCUGUCCGACCGGUUCUUUCGUCUGCGCAAGCCGAUAAAAACAAACAACCCGAGACCCACCCCCUCCCGGGCAACCACCACUCUCGUCACUCGUCCAUCCGGCCUCUCUGACUCUCUGACUCUCUCAACCUCUCUUCACUCUUUAGUCUCCAAUCUCCCUCCACCUUCCGGCUUUCAGCCUCCAGUUCACCCGCCUUUAGCCGUCUGCUUCUUCGACGACCGUCCCUGCUGAAAAAUGAGAAAGUCAGAAAGACAGGUUUGGUGGUAAAGGACAAAUGAGAAUUGAAAAGAGUUAACGAUAAUAAUUUUUUAGGUUUGCGUACUUUAUGACAACCCGAGACCCACCCCCUCCCGGGCAACCACCACUCUCGUCACUCGUCCAUCCGGCCUCUCUGACUCUCUGACUCUCUCAACCUCUCUUCACUCUUUAGUCUCCAAUCUUCCUCCACCUUCCGGCUUUCAGCCUCCAGUUCACCCGCCUUUAGCCGUCUGCUUCUUCGACGACCGUCCCUGCUGAAAAAUGAGAAAGUCAGAAAGACAGGUUUGGUG